GUGAAAGCCAAUUUUCUUCCUGUUAGAGCCGGAACAUUUAUUUUCUCCUGCCCUCAGACGUUGGUGCUCCUUGUUCUUGGACCUUCCAACUUGGACUGAAUUACACCGCUGGUUUUCCUGAUUCUCCAGGUUGCAGGUGGCAGGUUAUAGGACUUCUCGGCCUCUAUAAUCACGCUAUUUGGAAGAAUGCGAUUCAGGUACUUCCAGUCAGAUACAUCCGUGCAAGACUUGGAUAGAGAAGUAACAUAAGGAGGCAGCUGUGGGAAGACUGACCAUCUGCUUUGUGCCUGGAUACUAGCAGGAAGGAAGAGGAGGAGCAAGAAUGGAAGGCUUGUACCAACAAGUUCUUAUCCUUUUUAAUGAGGAAAACAAGAGCAUCCCUAUUCUGCUCUUAUCUCACCGAGUUCCAUGGCCAUUCUGAGCUGCAGUGGAGUCUUGGGAGGACAUUUGGCUGGAUUCAAAGAACUUUGAAGCCCAAGGGGAUGGAGGAACCACGGGAUGGAAGGUGCCUGAAUCCUGAAUGACUGUGUGGACAGUUUAUAAACAUUUGGGCAGUGCCAUCUCUAUCACAUAAAUUUAUUUUGUCUUCUUUUAUUUCUUCUUACCUUCCCAUGAUUUUCCUGGGUGAAUGGCUAAUUAGAAGAGUAAGAUGAGGUAGAGGGUGGAAUAGAGAGAUUGUAAAUUCUGCUUUGGGGAUAUUAAUCUGAGUUGUGUGUGAGAUGUUCAAGUGAAGAUGUCAAGCAAAAAUUUAGAUAUUUGCACCCCAGUGUGGUGGCUCACACCUGUAAUACCAGUACUUUGAGAGGCUGAGGCGGGUGGAUCACUAGAGGUCAGGAGUUGGACACCAUCCUGACAAACAUGUUGAAACCCUGUCUCCACUAAAAAUACAAAAAUUAGCCGGGCGUGGUUAUGGGUGCCUGUAAUCCCAGCUACUUGGGAGGCUGAGGCAGGAGAAUCGCUUGAACCUAGGAGGCAGAGGUUGCAGUGAGCCAAGAUCAUGCCAUUGCACUCCAGCCUGGGCAAUAAGAGCAAAACUUGUCUCAAAAAAAAUUUAGAUAUUUGCCUAUGGAUUUCAGAGGAGAAAUGCGGCAAGAGCAAAAGUUUCAGAGUCAAUAACCUAAUACUUGCAUUUAGCUCCAAAAGAAUUGUUGAAAUUAUAUAGGGAAAGAGGGUAGAGAAUAAAGAAGUGCCUGAAGUUGAGACUUAAGAUUCCUCAACAUUUAGAGUUUGAGUAGGAAUGGAGUUCAAGAAAGAGCAGAAGGAAAAGUAGAAGGGAUAUCAGGAGAGCAUGAGGUCAGAGAAGCCAAGAGAGAAAUAUUGUGCAAGAUGGAAGAUGUGGCCACCAUUAUGAGUUCUACUGACUGGUAAAGUAACCGUGGGAGCCAUCAGUGGCCUUGACAAGAGACAUUUCCUGGGAUGAUGGUUGGAACCUAGACUAGAGCAGAUUGAGGAGACAACCAGUAGUAAGGCUACAGAGAAAAGGGAACACUUACACACUGUUGGUGGGAAUGUAAAUUGGUUCAUCCACUGUGGAAAACAGUUUGGAGAUUUCUCAAAGAACUUAAAACAGAACUACCAUUUGACUCAGCAAUCCCAUUACUGGGUAUAUAUCCAAAGAAAAUAAAUCAUCCUAACAAAAAGACGCAUUUUCUCAUAUGUUCAUCACAAUACUAUUCACAAUACCAAAGACAUAGAAUCAACCUAAUACUCAUCAACAGUGGAUUGGAAAAAGAAAAUGUAGUAAUAUAUACCAUGAAGUACCACAGAGCCAUAAAAAAGAAUGAAAUCAUGUCCUUUGCAGCAACAUGGAUAGAGCUGGAGGCCAUUAUCCUAAGUGAAUUAUGCAGGAGCAGAACACCAACUAUCACAUAUUCUCAUUUAUAAGGGGGAGCUAAACAUUAGGUUCUCAUAGACAUAAAGAUGGCAAUAAUAGACACUGAAGACUACUGGAGGGAGGGGGUGAAAGGGGGAAGAGUUGAAAAACUAACUGUUGGGUACUAUACUCUGUACUGGGCGAUGGGAUCAUCUGUAUCCUAAACUUCAACAUCAUGCAAUAUAACCUAAUAACAAAUCUGCACUCCCUGAACCUAAA
RNAcentral lists this long non-coding RNA (2092 nucleotides) under Homo sapiens (human). RNAcentral describes it as "HSALNT0201406". Lineage: Eukaryota; Metazoa; Chordata; Mammalia; Primates; Hominidae. The record is from RNAcentral.